GGUGGCUCAGUGAUAGAGUGCUUGCUUUGCAUGCAUGAGACCCUGGGUUCAAUUCCUCAGCACCA
Molecule: transfer RNA, 65 nt
Filed under: Dipodomys ordii (Ord's kangaroo rat)
Lineage: Eukaryota; Metazoa; Chordata; Mammalia; Rodentia; Heteromyidae
Rfam family: tRNA
About the family: Transfer RNA (tRNA) molecules are approximately 80 nucleotides in length. Their secondary structure includes four short double-helical elements and three loops (D, anti-codon, and T loops). Further hydrogen bonds mediate the characteristic L-shaped molecular structure. tRNAs have two regions of fundamental functional importance: the anti-codon, which is responsible for specific mRNA codon recognition, and the 3' end, to which the tRNAs corresponding amino acid is attached (by aminoacyl-tRNA synthetases). tRNAs cope with the degeneracy of the genetic code in two manners: having more than one tRNA (with a specific anti-codon) for a particular amino acid; and 'wobble' base-pairing, i.e. permitting non-standard base-pairing at the 3rd anti-codon position.
Source: Rfam by way of RNAcentral